This 514-nucleotide ribosomal RNA is filed under the name uncultured bacterium. Its description in RNAcentral is "bacterial SSU rRNA". It matches the Rfam family "Bacterial small subunit ribosomal RNA", at positions 33 to 518 of the family's 1533-position model. The record is from RNAcentral.
ACGCUGGCGGCGUGCCUAAUACAUGCAAGUCGAACGGCUUUUCUAUGGAAGCUUGCUUCCAACUGAGAAGAUAGUGGCGAACGGGUGAGUAACACGUGGGUAACCUGCCCAUAAGAGGGGGGAUAACAUCCGGAAACGGGUGCUAAUACCGCAUAGUUUUCUUGAUCGCAUGAUCGGGAAAGGAAAGACGGCCUUUGUGCUGUCGCUUAUGGAUGGACCCGCGGCGUAUUAGUUAGUUGGUGAGGUAACGGCUCACCAAGACGAUGAUACGUAGCCGACCUGAGAGGUGAUCGGCCACAUUGGGACUGAGACACGGCCCAAACUCCUACGGGAGGCAGCAGUAGGGAAUCUUCCGCAAUGGACGAAAGUCUGACGGAGCAACGCCGCGUGAGUGAAAGAAGGUUUUCGGAUCGUUAAAACUCUGUUGUCAGAGAAGAACAAGUUGGAGAGUAACUGCUCCAGCCUUGACGGUAUCUGACCAGAAAGCCACGGCUAACUACGUGCCAGCCGCGGC